GAAAUGCGAUAAGUAAUGUGAAUUGCAGAAUUCAGUGAAUCAUCGAAUCUUUGAACGCAUCUUGCGCUCCUUGGUACUCCGAGGAGCAUGCCUGUUUGAGUGUCAUUAAAUUCUCAACUCUCUUAUACUUUGUUGUGUAGGAGGGCUUGGAUUGUGGAGGUUUGCUGGCAACUUGUUUGCGGUCAGCUCCUCUGAAAUGCAUUAGCGGAACCGUUUGCGAUCUGCCACAAGUGUGAUAAACUAUCUACACUGGCGAGGGGAUUGCUCUCUGUGUUGUUCAGCUUCUAAUCGUCUCAGCUUGAGACAACUUUUUGAAUACUUGACCUCAAAUCAGGUAGGACUACCCGCUGAACUUAA
RNAcentral lists this unclassified non-coding RNA (357 nucleotides) under uncultured Agaricus. RNAcentral describes it as "sequence contains ITS1". The stretch from base 1 to 105 matches the Rfam family "5.8S ribosomal RNA", at positions 50 to 154 of the family's 154-position model. Lineage: Eukaryota; Fungi; Basidiomycota; Agaricomycetes; Agaricales; Agaricaceae. The record is from RNAcentral.